Molecule: ribosomal RNA, 386 nt
Filed under: uncultured bacterium
Lineage: Bacteria
Description: bacterial SSU rRNA
Rfam family: Bacterial small subunit ribosomal RNA
Source: RNAcentral
GACGAACGCUGGCGGCGUGCUUAACACAUGCAAGUCGAGCGGUAAGGCCCUUUCGGGGUACACGAGCGGCGAACGGGUGAGUAACACGUGGGUGACCUGCCCUCAGCUCUGGGAUAAGCCCGGGAAACUGGGUCUAAUACUGGAUAUGACUCCAUGACGCAUGUUGUGGGGUGGAAAGCCUUGUGCGGCUGGGGAUGGGCCCGCGGCCUAUCAGCUUGUUGUGGGGUGAUGGCCUACCAAGGCGACGACGGGUAGCCGGCCUGAGAGGGCGACCGGCCACACUGUGACUGAGACACGGCCCAGACUCCUACGGGAGGCAGCAGUGGGGAAUCUUGCGCAAUGGGCGAAAGCCUGACGCAGCGACGCCGCGUGAGGGAUGACGGCCU